RNAcentral lists this long non-coding RNA (253 nucleotides) under Prunus persica (peach). RNAcentral describes it as "long non-coding RNA (PPER_LNC002151)". Lineage: Eukaryota; Viridiplantae; Streptophyta; Magnoliopsida; Rosales; Rosaceae. The record is from RNAcentral.
UAGGUUUGUCAAUGUGUGUUAUAGCACAGAAAAGAGAGGUAUUUAUAGGCUCCCAAAACCUCCAAGAUUAGCAAAUAUAAAUCCCUCUUUAAAUAUGAUUUGUGUCCUUUUUUUUCUUUUCAUUUUUCUUGAGAACUAAGUAAUCCUUAUUUGAGAAGGAGAUUGACUUAUUCAACUUUCUAAUUUAGACCAAGACACAUCCAUCCCAUUGGGCUCAUCUAGAAUCUUCUAAUAAGCCUUAUCUUCAUCCUGG